RNAcentral lists this unclassified non-coding RNA (396 nucleotides) under Hevea brasiliensis (rubber tree). Lineage: Eukaryota; Viridiplantae; Streptophyta; Magnoliopsida; Malpighiales; Euphorbiaceae. The record is from RNAcentral.
GGAAGGUUUGAAAAUUUUAUUGCAUUAUCAGUUAACUCAGGUUUGUUUUGAAUAGAAGAUUCAUGGGCUCGGUGAGUUUCAGUUGUGAACUUUCAGAUCUAAGAACUGCUUAUGCAUUCUUUAAUUUUUGAGAUAUCAUCUGCUAGCAGGUUUUGUUAAUAUUUAGUAUCAGUAAUUUUACUAGUAACCACACUCUUUUAUUGCCAUGAUUUCAUGAAUGCACUACAAUGUUGGAUUGAAGUAGGGUUUAUCUAUAUAUCUGUUGGAACAACUCAUUGAUUUGGUCCUACUGGCUAAGAUGAGCUUUGUGAAUAUUGUCUUGUAUGGUUCUGUUUUGGCUUACUUUGAACUCUUUACUAGUAUAAACUUCUUGUAACUUUUAACUGGUGUCGCAAG